This 253-nucleotide ribosomal RNA is filed under the name uncultured bacterium. RNAcentral describes it as "partial 16S ribosomal RNA". It matches the Rfam family "Bacterial small subunit ribosomal RNA", at positions 524 to 776 of the family's 1533-position model. The record is from RNAcentral.
UACAGAGGGCUCAAGCGUUAAUCGGAAUCACUGGGCUUAAAGCGAGCGUAGGCGGAUCGGUAGGCACGUUGUGAAAGCCCACGGCUCAACCGUGGAAUUGCAGCGUGAACCCCCGAUCUUGAGGCGAGUAGAGGUAGCCAGAACGAUAGGUGGAGCGGUGAAAUGCGUAGAGAUCUAUCGGAAUGCCGAAGGUGAAGACAGGCUACUGGGCUCGAACUGACGCUGAGGCUCGAAAGCGUGGGGAUCAAACGGG